ACUUACCGCUGGUGUCCCAGUUGUUCUGCCAAGGGCAUUGCUGGGUAGCUAUGUAGGGAAGGGAUAAACGCUGAAAGCAUCUAAGUGUGAAGCCCACCUCAAGAUGAGAUUUCCCAUUUCUUUAAGAAAGUAAGAUCCCUGAGAGAUGAUCAGGUAGAUAGGUCAGGAGUGGAAGUACAGUGAUGUAUGGAGCGGACUGAUACUAAUCGAUCGAGGACUUAACCAAU
This 227-nucleotide ribosomal RNA is filed under the name Enterococcus faecium. RNAcentral's name for it is "partial 23S ribosomal RNA". It matches the Rfam family "Bacterial large subunit ribosomal RNA", at positions 2701 to 2925 of the family's 2925-position model. Lineage: Bacteria; Bacillati; Bacillota; Bacilli; Lactobacillales; Enterococcaceae. The record is from RNAcentral.